UACGUAGGGUGCGAGCGUUGUCCGGAUUUAUUGGGCGUAAAGGGCUCGUAGGCGGCUUGUCGCGUCGGGAGUGAAAGCCCAGUGCUUAACGGUGGGUCUGCUUUCGGUACGGGCGGGCUAGAGUAUGGCAGGGGAGACUGGAAUUCCUGGUGUAGCGGUGGAAUGCGCAGAUAUCAGGAGGAACACCGGUGGCGAAGGCGGGUCUCUGGGCCAUUACUGACGCUGAGGAGCGAAAGCGUGGGGAGCGAACAGG
Molecule: ribosomal RNA, 253 nt
Filed under: uncultured bacterium
Lineage: Bacteria
Description: partial 16S ribosomal RNA
Rfam family: Bacterial small subunit ribosomal RNA
Source: RNAcentral